UUCAAAAAACCUGCGAUAAUU
Molecule: non-coding RNA, 21 nt
Filed under: Caenorhabditis elegans
Lineage: Eukaryota; Metazoa; Nematoda; Chromadorea; Rhabditida; Rhabditidae
Source: RNAcentral